This 253-nucleotide ribosomal RNA is filed under the name uncultured bacterium. RNAcentral's name for it is "partial 16S ribosomal RNA". It matches the Rfam family "Bacterial small subunit ribosomal RNA", at positions 524 to 776 of the family's 1533-position model. The record is from RNAcentral.
UACGGAGGGAGCUAGCGUUGUUCGGAAUUACUGGGCGUAAAGCGCGCGUAGGCGGCUUUGUAAGUUAGAGGUGAAAGCCCGGAGCUCAACUCCGGAACUGCCUUUAAAACUGCAUCGCUUGAAUCCAGGAGAGGUGAGUGGAAUUCCGAGUGUAGAGGUGAAAUUCGUAGAUAUUCGGAAGAACACCAGUGGCGAAGGCGGCUCGCUGGACUGGUAUUGACGCUGAGGUGCGAAAGCGUGGGGAGCAAACAGG